Long non-coding RNA from Cyprinus carpio carpio, 1066 nucleotides. Lineage: Eukaryota; Metazoa; Chordata; Actinopteri; Cypriniformes; Cyprinidae. The record is from Ensembl.
CUCCUGCUUCUCCCAUGCUUGGCUUAACUCUAGGUAUUUCCCUAAUUAUCCACUACACCCAGAUAAGAAACUUGAUGCAAUUUUCUCUCUAAAAAGGCAAGAAAGAUAAGGGUUUUGAAAUGAACGGUUAACAUCACUUAUUGCCUCCAGUAAAAUUAAUUUGCGGUCUUUGUGAGGCAGAUGUGAAGAAUCUAAAAAAGUCUUUUGUUACAUUGGGAAAAAGAUUUUUAUCUGAAGGUGUGUAUCUUUUGCAAAAAAUAAAAAAUACCAUGCCAGAGUAUAGUGAUGUUCUCUGAUGGACCAUACCAACACCAUACAGACAUAGAACAAAAAAUUGCACUUGCAUGGUACUCUGAGGUACUUUAAGAAUACCACAGCAUUACCAUGAUACAAGUCAGGAAAAGUGGUGUAGCAGUAUACAUGCAAUUUGAAUCACUUCCAUGUUGGCUGUUUUAGGUUUUACAAUUUAUUAGGCCUAUGCAACCCUUUAUUUGUGCAUUUACUUGCCACCCAAGGAGAGUGAACUUAAUUAAGUCAUUUUAUGAAAUCAUUAGUCAUGUGUAAUCAUUUCAAAAUGCCUUUGAAGGAUGUUUUAUUAAAACCCAUUUCCUAUGACGUCCUCCAUUUGGCUUUUGUCUCUGUCUGAUGUUUCUCAUAUCACUAAAUUAAGUAAUUUGCUUUACAGUAUGUGGGGAAGGAAGUGUAAAGGGUUGCUGCCACAUGAAACAAGGAUGGGUCAAACAGACCGCAUCAAAUUCUUGCAAAAUAAAGUGCAGUCUGGCGUGAGGUGGAAUCCAUAAGCUUCACAAACUCCAAAGAAGGACUGUAAUUCUCCAGUCCUAAUAUUCCUUGCUCUUCUGAAAUGAAACUCCCCACUGUUUAUCCCUGACUGGCUCGGCCAGUCUUCAACAUCAUCCCUUCAUACCGCUCUCAUUAUAGUCUCAGCCCACUCCGCUUUCACAGAGACGCUCCAGCAUCCAGCAGUGUGUGUGUGUGUGUGUGCUGGAGGAAACUGGCAGUAAUCCUGAAAAAAGUUCCUCAACUCUGAGCCUUACUGUAAUCAAAU